UACGUAGGUGGCAAGCGUUAUCCGGAUUUAUUGGGUGUAAAGGGCGUGUAGGCGGGAGCGCAAGUCAGAUGUGAAAACUCAGGGCUCAACCCUGAGCCUGCAUUUGAAACUGUGUUUCUUGAGUGCUGGAGAGGCAAUCGGAAUUCCGUGUGUAGCGGUGAAAUGCGUAGAUAUACGGAGGAACACCAGUGGCGAAGGCGGAUUGCUGGACAGUAACUGACGCUGAGGUUCGAAAGCGUGGGUAGCAAACAGG
This 253-nucleotide ribosomal RNA is filed under the name uncultured bacterium. Its description in RNAcentral is "partial 16S ribosomal RNA". It matches the Rfam family "Bacterial small subunit ribosomal RNA", at positions 524 to 776 of the family's 1533-position model. The record is from RNAcentral.